This 274-nucleotide ribosomal RNA is filed under the name uncultured bacterium. Its description in RNAcentral is "partial 16S ribosomal RNA". It matches the Rfam family "Bacterial small subunit ribosomal RNA", at positions 523 to 796 of the family's 1533-position model. The record is from RNAcentral.
AUACGAAAGGUGCGAGCGUUGUUCGGAUUUACUGGGCGUAAAGAGAGUGUAGGUUGUUUAUUAAGUCGGAUGUGAAAUCCCGGGGCUCAACCUCGGAACUGCAUUCGAUACUGGUAGACUAGAGUUCGGGAGGGGUAAGCGGAAUUCCGUGUGUAGCAGUGAAAUGCGUAGAUAUACGGAGGAACACCUGAGGCGAAGGCGGCUUACUGGACCGAUACUGACACUGAGACUCGAAAGCGUGGGUAGCAAACAGGAUUAGAUACCCCAGUAGUCC